This 379-nucleotide ribosomal RNA is filed under the name uncultured eukaryote. RNAcentral describes it as "partial 18S ribosomal RNA". It matches the Rfam family "Eukaryotic small subunit ribosomal RNA", at positions 592 to 976 of the family's 1831-position model. The record is from RNAcentral.
CAAUAGCGUAUAUUAAAGUUGUUGCGGUUAAAAAGCUCGUAGUUGGAUUUCUGCCGAGGACGACCGGUCCGCCCUCUGGGUGAGCAUCUGGCUCGGCCUGGGCAUCCUCUUGGAGAACGUAGCUGCACUUGACUGUGUGGGGCGGUAUCCAGGACUUUUACUUUGAGGAAAUUAGAGUGUUUCAAGCAGGCAUCCGCCUUGAAUACAUUAGCAUGGAAUAAUAAGAUAGGACCUCGGUUCUAUUUUGUUGGUUUCUAGAGCUGAGGUAAUGAUUAAUAGGGAUAGUUGGGGGCAUUCGUAUUUAACUGUCAGAGGUGAAAUUCUUGGAUUUGUUAAGACGGACUACUGCGAAAGCAUUUGCCAAGGAUGUUUUCAUUGA